Molecule: ribosomal RNA, 253 nt
Filed under: uncultured bacterium
Lineage: Bacteria
Description: partial 16S ribosomal RNA
Rfam family: Bacterial small subunit ribosomal RNA
Source: RNAcentral
GACGUAGGGGGCCAGCGUUGCUCGGAAUUACUGGGCGUAAAGGGUUCGUAGGCGGUGCGGCAAGUCGGAAGUGAAAUCUCUGGGCUUAACUCAGAGGCUGCUCCCGAAACUGCCGUGCUUGAGUGCGGGAGAGGCGAGUGGAAUUGCAGGUGUAGCGGUGAAAUGCGUAGAUAUCUGCAGGAACACCCGUGGCGAAAGCGGCGCGCUGGACCACUACUGACGCUGAGGAACGAAAGCUAGGGGAGCAAACAGG